CAUAGGGUAAUAGUAUUAAUCCAAAUGUUAGAAAUGAUUAAAAGGGUUGAUCUAAGAGCCAAAAAGUCAAAAGCACCAGAUCCUCUGUGCUUCCGAUAGUAUAGUAGUUCUAAUAUAUAUAUAUAUAUAGGCUGGGGCUACUAUACUCAUAUGAGUAUAGAGCCCUUUGUACUCAUAAGUUUUUAACCGUUCAGAUGAAAAAAUAUGCGGUUAGGAUGAAGUGGUUACAGUUAAGUUGAUAGUGGCCCCCCUAGGGUUGAGUGGCUGGUCAGUUGACUAGUAUAAUCUAACGGGUGAAAAUGAUUAAAGGGUAGAUCUAACGGCCAAAAACUUAUGAGUACAAUAGGCUCUAUACUCAUAAAAGUAUAGUAGCCGGACUAUGUAUAUAUAUAUGCUAAUGCUACUAUCCUAUUAAUAGGAUAGGAGCACUUGUCCUAUCAAGUUGUUCUUGAUGAUCGAGAUUCCGAAUCGAUGAUCGGAGCCGUUGAAGUUGAUCUAGAGUAUUUGAAAUAUCUAGAAAUUAAAUUUCAUAAAUUUUGAUAAUGGUUUACAUGGUGAUCAAAGUGUCGUAAAAUCGACAAUUUUUGAUGGCCUAUAUGAGCCGUUUGCUUGUUUAACGGUGUAGAGCAAUCCAAAUUGCUUGAAUUUGGCAUAGAAAAUUUUUUAUACUAUUUAGAUAAUGUUUGAUAACUCUGAUUACGAACUGAGAAAGUCUAACCUCUAUUUUAAGAAGGUUAUUCAUUUAUGACCGUUCAUUUUUCAACUC
This 766-nucleotide long non-coding RNA is filed under the name Ananas comosus (pineapple). RNAcentral describes it as "long non-coding RNA (ACOM_LNC005808)". The record is from RNAcentral. Lineage: Eukaryota; Viridiplantae; Streptophyta; Magnoliopsida; Poales; Bromeliaceae.